This is a long non-coding RNA of Asparagus officinalis (garden asparagus), 585 nucleotides long. RefSeq lists it as uncharacterized. The record is from RefSeq and is a predicted model, not a curated record. The transcript has 3 exons. NCBI's taxonomy places the organism in Eukaryota, Viridiplantae, Streptophyta, Magnoliopsida, Asparagales, Asparagaceae.
AACAAAAUAUGCACGCACUGAUUUUGACCUUGCUGGCCAAGUUUCAGCUUUCAGAGCUCAGCAGCAUCUCUAAUGGCGGAAACUAGCCGACCCUGGUUUCUAGAGUCUGUUCCUCUUCUCGUGAUGGUUCUCAUGGCUGCUCAUCUCUCAGCUUUGAUUUAUUGGAUGUACAAAUUAGCUUCUCAAAAGCCAGACCCUCGUAGAAAAACCCAUUAAGGAGUGUUGUUGAAGGUGUCGAAUCAAAUGAACCAGUCUACUGUUUUUUCUCGCCAUGCUAAAAAGUUUUCUUUCUCAUUAAACGGCAGUUGAAUGAUGUUCAAAUUGAUUGCUUGUAUUAUGUCAGUUCUGCAUUUUUGUCCUAUGUUCGAUAAUCGCUGAAGUGGUUUAACGCUACAAAUUGUAAGCCAUAUGAAGGAGUGAGAUAAACUAAGAAACACGAAAAGACUUUACAUGUACCUUUAGCUUGAAUAUUUUCUCUGUGAAUUGAAGUAAAUAUAUUUACUUCAGUUGCUCUUGUGUGUUUUUGAACAAAAGGCAGGUAAACUAUCUUUCUUAUUGUAAUAAGGGAAUUGUCUUCAUCCAUUU